Molecule: ribosomal RNA, 253 nt
Filed under: uncultured bacterium
Lineage: Bacteria
Description: partial 16S ribosomal RNA
Rfam family: Bacterial small subunit ribosomal RNA
Source: RNAcentral
CACGUAGGGCGCAAGCGUUGUCCGGAAUUAUUGGGCGUAAAGAGCUCGUAGGUGGUUUGUUGCGUCCGCUGUGAAAUCCCGGGGCUCAACCCCGGGCCUGCAGUGGAUACGGGCUGGCUAGAGGCAGGCAGGGGAGAACGGAAUUCCUGGUGUAGCGGUGAAAUGCGCAGAUAUCAGGAGGAACACCGGUGGCGAAGGCGGUUCUCUGGGCCUGUACUGACGCUGAGGAGCGAAAGCGUGGGGAGCGAACAGG